RNAcentral lists this ribosomal RNA (382 nucleotides) under Neoclytus acuminatus (red-headed ash borer). Its description in RNAcentral is "partial 12S ribosomal RNA". The record is from RNAcentral. Lineage: Eukaryota; Metazoa; Arthropoda; Insecta; Coleoptera; Cerambycidae.
AACUAGGAUUAGAUACCCUAUUAUUUAGAAUGUAAAAUUUUAUUCUUGGUUAGUAAUAGUUAUGCUCUUGAAAACUAAAGAUUUUGGCGGUAUUUUAUUCUGUUCAGAGGAACCUGUCUGGUAAUUGAUAUUCCACGAUAAAUUCUACUUUUUCUUAGUUUGCAUAUCGUCGUGGUUAGAACAUUUUUUUAGAAUUUGAAUGUUCAUGAUUUUUUUUUAGAAAGAAGAUCAGAUCAAGGUGUAGCUUAUGGAGAAGUAUAAGAUGGGUUACAUUAAAUUUAUUUAAGGAUUAUUAAUUGCAAUUUAAUAUGAAUUUGGAUUUGAUAGUAAUUUUGAUUAUUUUAUUAAAAUGAUAUUAGCUCUAAAAUAUGUACACAUGGCC